UUACCGAGUGCGGGUCCUUUGGGCCCAACCUCCCAUCCGUGUCUAUUAUACCCUGUUGCUUCGGCGGGCCCGCCGCUUGUCGGCCGCCGGGGGGGCGCCUUUGCCCCCCGGGCCCGUGCCCGCCGGAGACCCCAACACGAACACUGUCUGAAAGCGUGCAGUCUGAGUUGAUUGAAUGCAAUCAGUUAAAACUUUCAACAAUGGAUCUCUUGGUUCCGGCAUCGAUGAAGAACGCAGCGAAAUGCGAUAACUAAUGUGAAUUGCAGAAUUCAGUGAAUCAUCGAGUCUUUGAACGCACAUUGCGCCCCCUGGUAUUCCGGGGGGCAUGCCUGUCCGAGCGUCAUUGCUGCCCUCAAGCCCGGCUUGUGUGUUGGGUCGCCGUCCCCCUCUCCGGGGGGACGGGCCCGAAAGGCAGCGGCGGCACCGCGUCCGAUCCUCGAGCGUAUGGGGCUUUGUCACAUGCUCUGUAGGAUUGGCCGGCGCCUGCCGACGUUUUCCAACCAUUUUUUCCAGGUUGACCUCGGAUCAGGUAGGGAUACCCGCUGAACUUAAGCAUAUCAAUAAGCGGAGGAAAAGAAACCAACCGGGAUUGCCUCAGUAACGGCGAGUGAAGCGGCAAGAGCUCAAAUUUGAAAGCUGGCUCCUUCGGAGUCCGCAUUGUAAUUUGCAGAGGAUGCUUUGGGUGCGGCCCCCGUCUAAGUGCCCUGGAACGGGCCGUCAGAGAGGGUGAGAAUCCCGUCUUGGGCGGGGUGUCCGUGCCCGUGUAAGCU
This 770-nucleotide ribosomal RNA is filed under the name fungal sp. RNAcentral's name for it is "eukaryotic LSU rRNA". The stretch from base 516 to 770 matches the Rfam family "Eukaryotic large subunit ribosomal RNA", at positions 1 to 252 of the family's 3401-position model. Lineage: Eukaryota; Fungi. The record is from RNAcentral.